Molecule: ribosomal RNA, 412 nt
Filed under: Macaca maura x tonkeana
Lineage: Eukaryota; Metazoa; Chordata; Mammalia; Primates; Cercopithecidae
Description: partial 12S ribosomal RNA
Rfam family: Bacterial small subunit ribosomal RNA
Source: RNAcentral
CCCUAGAGGAGCCUGUUCCAUAAUCGAUAAACCCCGAUCCACCUCACCCUCUCUUGCUUAGCCUAUAUACCGCCAUCUUCAGCAAACCCUGAUAAAGGUUACAAAGUGAGCACAAACGCCCUGCCGCCGCAAAAACGUUAGGUCAAGGUGUAGCCCAUGAGAGGGGUAAAAAUGGGCUACAUUUUCUACACCAGAAAACCCCACGAAAACUCUUAUGAAACCUAAGAGUCCAAGGAGGAUUUAGCAGUAAAUUAAGAAUAGAGUGCUUAAUUGAACCAGGCCAUAAAGCGCGUACACACCGGCCGUCACUCCCCUCAAAUGUAUUUAAAGGACAUCUUAACUAAACACCCUGAUAUUUACACAGAGGGGAUAAGUCGUAACAUGGUAAGUGUACUGGAAGGUGCACUUGGAC